RNAcentral lists this ribosomal RNA (225 nucleotides) under uncultured Enterococcaceae bacterium. RNAcentral's name for it is "partial 16S ribosomal RNA". It matches the Rfam family "Bacterial small subunit ribosomal RNA", at positions 116 to 334 of the family's 1533-position model. The record is from RNAcentral. Lineage: Bacteria; Bacillati; Bacillota; Bacilli; Lactobacillales; Enterococcaceae.
CGUGGGUAACCUACCCAUCAGAGGGGGAUAACACUUGGAAACAGGUGCUAAUACCGCAUAACAGUUUAUGCCGCAUGGCAUAAGAGUGAAAGGCGCUUUCGGGUGUCGCUGAUGGAUGGACCCGCGGUGCAUUAGCUAGUUGGUGAGGUAAAGGCUCACCAAGGCCACGAUGCAUAGCCGACCUGAGAGGGUGAUCGGCCACACUGGGACUGAGACACGGCCCAG